RNAcentral lists this ribosomal RNA (482 nucleotides) under uncultured bacterium. RNAcentral describes it as "partial 16S ribosomal RNA". It matches the Rfam family "Bacterial small subunit ribosomal RNA", at positions 30 to 507 of the family's 1533-position model. The record is from RNAcentral.
AUUGAACGCUGGCGGCAUGCCUUACACAUGCAAGUCGAACGGUAACGGGCCUUCGGGUGCCGACGAGUGGCGAACGGGAGAGUAAUACAUCGGAACGUGCCCGAUCGUGGGGGAUAACGAGGCGAAAGCUUUGCUAAUACCGCAUACGAUCUACGGAUGAAAGCAGGGGACCGCAAGGCCUUGCGCGGACGGAGCGGCCGAUGGCAGAUUAGGUAGUUGGUGGGAUAAAAGCUUACCAAGCCGACGAUCUGUAGCUGGUCUGAGAGGAUGAUCAGCCACACUGGGACUGAGACACGGCCCAGACUCCUACGGGAGGCAGCAGUGGGGAAUUUUGGACAAUGGGCGCAAGCCUGAUCCAGCCAUGCCGCGUGCAGGAUGAAGGCCUUCGGGUUGUAAACUGCUUUUGUACGGAACGAAAAGCCUUCUUUUAAUACAGGAGGGUCAUGACGGUACCGUAAGAAUAAGCACCGGCUAACUACGUG